CCAGGGCGGCUUAGAAUAAGGGGUUUUCUGGAAGUCGCCACAGGGAGGCGUGGAACGAAUGGCCGACGUGCUCUACACGUCUCCUUCAGCAGCGUGAUAAACUGCAGAGACAUUCCUGGAGUAGAGUCUCGAUUGCUGCACACAUUCUACCUACAAGACACUUAGAGGUGAUAGCCACAUAUACAAGAGUUUGUGCAAUCGCCAUGCCCGCAGAUCCACGUACUUCGUAUCCAGAUGGCACACCAUUUCAUUGCAUAUCCGCCUUAACGAGUGUAACAGGGCGUGGAAGCUUCCGGCCACCACUAACACCACUUGCAAACGGGAAAAAAUAAUAAGGAAAAAAGAAAUAUAAGAAAAAAAAAAAGCAAAGGGAAAUAACUAAAAUAAGAUAAAAUCAAAUAAUUUUAUAUCAACAUUAAACUUUUGUUAUGAGAUAUUCUAAAUAGAAAAAAAUAAAUGAAAUAAAGAAAAGGAUAGGAAAUGACCAACUGAAGAUUCUUGUUUGUAAAGAGGACAGCAGGAGAGCAAAACAGGGAGUUCCAAAGAGAAGUGUUAUGAGAGCUUCUGAAGGAGUCCACGUGUGCCUUCCACCUUGGCCACCUGCAAGAGACACGCCUUCCUGACCUCCUUAUCU
Portunus trituberculatus (swimming crab) is the source of this 634-nucleotide long non-coding RNA. RefSeq lists it as uncharacterized. NCBI's taxonomy places the organism in Eukaryota, Metazoa, Arthropoda, Malacostraca, Decapoda, Portunidae. The transcript is spliced from 3 exons. The record is from RefSeq and is a predicted model, not a curated record.